AGAGUUUGAUCAUGGCUCAGGACGAACGCUGGCGGCGUGCUCUAAUACAUGCAAGUAGAACGCUGAAGACUGGUGCUUGCACUAGUCAGAUGAGUUGCGAACGGGUGAGUAACGCGUAGGUAACCUACCUCAUAGCGGGGGAUAACUAUUGGAAACGAUAGCUAAUACCGCAUGACAAUUAAGUACUCAUGUACUAAAUUUAAAAGGAGCAAUUGCUUCACUAUGAGAUGGACCUGCGUUGUAUUAGCUAGUUGGUGAGGUAACGGCUCACCAAGGCCACGAUACAUAGCCGACCUGAGAGGGUGAUCGGCCACACUGGGACUGAGACACGGCCCAGACUCCUACGGGAGGCAGCAGUAGGGAAUCUUCGGCAAUGGGGGCAACCCUGACCGAGCAACGCCGCGUGAGUGAAGAAGGUUUUCGGAUCGUAAAGCUCUGUUGUUAGAGAAGAACGGUAAUGGGAGUGGAAAAUCCAUUACGUGACGGUAACUAACCAGAAAGGGACGGCUAACUACGUGCCAGCAGCCGCGGUAAUACGUAGGUCUCGAGCGUUGUCCGGAUUUAUUGGGCGUAAAGCGAGCGCAGGCGGUUAUUUAAGUCUGAAGUUAAAGGCCGUGGCCCAACCAUGGUUCGCUUUGGAAACUGGAUAACUUGAGUGCAGAAGGGGAGAGUGGAAUUCCAUGUGUAGCGGUGAAAUGCGUAGAUAUAUGGAGGAACACCGGUGGCGAAAGCGGCUCUCUGGUCUGUAACUGACGCUGAGGCUCGAAAGCGUGGGGAGCAAACAGGAUUAGAUACCCUGGUAGUCCACGCCGUAAACGAUGAGUGCUAGGUGUUAGGCCCUUUCCGGGGCUUAGUGCCGCAGCU
This 864-nucleotide ribosomal RNA is filed under the name uncultured bacterium. RNAcentral describes it as "bacterial SSU rRNA". It matches the Rfam family "Bacterial small subunit ribosomal RNA", at positions 8 to 853 of the family's 1533-position model. The record is from RNAcentral.